Molecule: ribosomal RNA, 253 nt
Filed under: uncultured bacterium
Lineage: Bacteria
Description: partial 16S ribosomal RNA
Rfam family: Bacterial small subunit ribosomal RNA
Source: RNAcentral
UACGAAGGGGGCUAGCGUUGCUCGGAAUUACUGGGCGUAAAGCGCACGUAGGCGGGUUGUUAAGUCAGGGGUGAAAUCCUGGAGCUCAACUCCAGAACUGCCUUUGAUACUGGCAACCUAGAGGCUGGAAGAGGUUAGUGGAAUUCCCAGUGUAGAGGUGAAAUUCGUAGAUAUUGGGAAGAACACCAGUGGCGAAGGCGGCUAACUGGUCCAGAUCUGACGCUGAGGUGCGAAAGCGUGGGGAGCAAACAGG